GAUUUUCUUGUUGUUGCUGUUGUUGUUGUUGUUAUUGCUGUAGCUGUUGUUGUCGUUCGGUGCCUAAGUGUGGGCACAUAAAACCGGAGAGCCAUGACACAGCUACAGCCGCGGCGUACGAAUUGCCACCAUCGAGCAUGCGUGCCACACUCACCGUCAUAAAGAGGAAAGCCCAACGGAGCAACAACACACGAAAAUACCCCACGCAUCACUCACUCACACACACAUACAUAGCGCUCACUGAGCAGCUGAUGGUGUUGUUGUGAUUGUGAUUUCGUGGUGUCUUUCUUUUUAGCUGAGGUCAAUAUCGUCAGUGGCAACGGAGCAAAUAGAAAUAUGAAUAACUGUUUAUGAUGAGUAUACGAAAA
Long non-coding RNA from Drosophila navojoa, 368 nucleotides. NCBI's taxonomy places the organism in Eukaryota, Metazoa, Arthropoda, Insecta, Diptera, Drosophilidae. The record is from RefSeq and is a predicted model, not a curated record.